This is a small nuclear RNA of Hemibagrus wyckioides, 115 nucleotides long. RefSeq annotates it as U5 spliceosomal RNA. The record is from RefSeq and is a predicted model, not a curated record. Lineage: Eukaryota; Metazoa; Chordata; Actinopteri; Siluriformes; Bagridae. The transcript has a single exon.
UAGCUCUGGUUUUUCUUAAUUUAUGUGUAAAUAUUUCACCUUUUAUUAAAGAUUUCUGUGGAAAAGAACAGCAAUGAGUUUGAUGUAUUUUUGUGAGCUUUGCUCUGGCAAAGCU